GACCGUGGAGGCCACGAGGCCAGAAAGGAGUAGGAAGAGCGCCGGCCGCCGCACUCGAACUCCGCGCCUCCCCAGACCCCCACCCCCGCAGGCAGAGUCGUCCUUCCUCUUGGUCAGCCAAGUGCCGGGUUGGUCCGUUGGGUUGCGUGGUACAGAUGGCCAAACGGACUCGGGUGCAAGUAAGUGACUGACCCAAGGCGCCUCAGCGUGUCAGUGGCCGGGCAGGUUUGUCUGACGUCAAGGCAGAGGCACAGCCCGGCCCUGCAGUGCCUGUGUGGUUCUGGGGGCAGCAGUAGAGGAGGAGAUGACCUAAAACAAGCCCACAGAGUGCGCGGAACAGCUGGAAAUUCCACAGCAGGGCCGCCUGUCAAAGAGCAAGUCACUCCCCUCAACUCCACCACGCCGAUCGAAAUCUGAGCUGCACAGGAACCUGUCCAGACUUUGGGGGCCAAAA
Urocitellus parryii (Arctic ground squirrel) is the source of this 454-nucleotide long non-coding RNA. RefSeq lists it as uncharacterized. NCBI's taxonomy places the organism in Eukaryota, Metazoa, Chordata, Mammalia, Rodentia, Sciuridae. The record is from RefSeq and is a predicted model, not a curated record.